RNAcentral lists this ribosomal RNA (444 nucleotides) under uncultured bacterium. Its description in RNAcentral is "partial 16S ribosomal RNA". It matches the Rfam family "Bacterial small subunit ribosomal RNA", at positions 338 to 795 of the family's 1533-position model. The record is from RNAcentral.
CCUAGGGGAGGCAGCAGUGGGGAAUAUUGCACAAUGGGGGAAACCCUGAUGCAGCGACGCCGCGUGCGUGAAGAAGUAAUUCGUUAUGUAAAGCUCUAUCAGCAGGGAAGAAAAUGACGAUACCUGAGUAAGAAGCCCCGGCUAACUACGUGCCAGCAGCCGCGGUAAUACGUAGGGGGCACGCGUUCUCCGGAUUUACUGGGUGUAAAGGUAGCGUUGACGGCAGUGAGUUAAGUGAGCGGUGGAAUGCCCCCGCUCAACGGGGUGAAGUGCCAUUGAUACUGCCUUGCUGGAAUGCGGAAGCCGUGGGAGGAAUGUGUGGUGUAGCGGUGAAAUGCAUAGAUAUCACACAGAACACCGAUUGCGAAGGCAUCUCACGAAUCCGCGAUUGACGCUGAUGCACGAAAGCGUGGGUAUCAAACAGGAUUAGAUACCCUUGUAGUC